UACGUAGGGUGCGAGCGUUGUCCGGAAUUAUUGGGCGUAAAGAGCUCGUAGGCGGUUUGUCGCGUCGACUGUGAAAACCUACAGCUUAACUGUGGGCUUGCAGUCGAUACGGGCAGACUUGAGUUCGGUAGGGGAGACUGGAAUACUUGGUGUAGCAGUGAAAUGCGUAGAUAUCAAGUGGAACACCAGUGGCGAAGGCGAGUCUCUGGACAUUUCCUGACGCUGAGGCACGAAAGCCAGGGGAGCAAACGGG
RNAcentral lists this ribosomal RNA (253 nucleotides) under uncultured bacterium. Its description in RNAcentral is "partial 16S ribosomal RNA". It matches the Rfam family "Bacterial small subunit ribosomal RNA", at positions 524 to 776 of the family's 1533-position model. The record is from RNAcentral.